Long non-coding RNA from Oncorhynchus tshawytscha (Chinook salmon), 829 nucleotides. Lineage: Eukaryota; Metazoa; Chordata; Actinopteri; Salmoniformes; Salmonidae. The record is from Ensembl.
GGAGACAGGGGAGAGAUGGUAGGGAGACAGGGGAGAGAUGGUAAUGAGACAGGGGAGAGAUGGAAGGGUAGAGAUGGAAGGGUAGAGAUGGAAGGGUAGAGAUGGAAGGGUAGAGAUGGAAGGGAGACAGGGGAGAGAUGGUAGGGAGACAGGGUAGAGAUGGAAGGGAGACAGGGGAGAGAUGGUAGUGAGACAGGGGAGAUAUGGAAGGGAGACAGGGGAGAGAUGGGAGGGAGACAGGGGAGAGAUGGAAGGGAGACAGGGGAGAGAUGGAAGGGAGACAAGGUAGAGAUGGUAGGGAGACAGGGGAGAGAUGGAAGGGAGACAGGGGAGAGAUGGAAGGAGACAUGGGAGAUAUGGAAGGGAGACAGGGUAGAGAUGGAAGGGAGACAGGGGAGAGAUGGAAGGGAGACAGGGGAGAGAUGGUAAUGAGACAGGGGAGAGAUGGAAGGGAGACAGGGGAGAUAUGGAAGGGAGACAGGGAGAGAUGGAAGGGGAGAGAUGGAAGGGGAGAGAUGGUAGGGAUACAGGGGAGAGAUGGUAGGGAUACAGGGAGAGAUGGAAGGGGAGAGACGGAAGGGGAGAGAUGGUAGGGAUACAGGGGAGAGAUGGAAGGGUAGAGAUGGAAGGGGAGAGAUGGUAGGGAGACAGGGGAGAGAUGGAAGUGGAGAGAUGGUAGGGAGACAGGGGAGAUAUGGAAGGGAGACAGGGGAGAGAUGGAAGGGUAGAGAUGGAAGGGGAGAGAUGGAAGGGAGACAGGGGAGAGAUGGAAGGGAGACAGGUGAGAGAUGGAAGGGAGACAGGGGAGAGAUGGAAGGGGAGACAGGGG